Molecule: long non-coding RNA, 256 nt
Organism: Leopardus geoffroyi (Geoffroy's cat)
Lineage: Eukaryota; Metazoa; Chordata; Mammalia; Carnivora; Felidae
Exons: 2
Source: RefSeq, a predicted model, not a curated record
AGAUGAUCACAUCACUAUUGGAAUAUUUGGAUAGAGACUGCGAUAUCACUGUCUUUCCACAGCCGAAAGCCCCCGGGAUUGCAGUAGUUCCUCCCUGUACACAUCUGAGCGGAGAAAACAAAGUGUGGAUUACUACACUUGCUAAUUACUACUAACAAAGUAGGUUGAAAACAGAAUGGAGUGAGAAGACACAAUCUCUCCCCCAAGGAGCUUCUGGCCUGGUGGGAUGGAUAUAAAGACAAAUAGGGAGUUACAA